This 450-nucleotide ribosomal RNA is filed under the name uncultured bacterium. RNAcentral describes it as "partial 16S ribosomal RNA". It matches the Rfam family "Bacterial small subunit ribosomal RNA", at positions 354 to 796 of the family's 1533-position model. The record is from RNAcentral.
GUGGGGAAUAUUGGACAAUGGGCGAAAGCCUGAUCCAGCCAUGCCGCGUGUGUGAAGAAGGUCUUCGGAUUGUAAAGCACUUUAAGUUGGGAGGAAGGGCAGUAACCUAAUACGUUAUUGUUUUGACGUUACCGACAGAAUAAGCACCGGCUAACUUCGUGCCAGCAGCCGCGGUAAUACGAAGGGUGCAAGCGUUAAUCGGAAUUACUGGGCGUAAAGCGCGCGUAGGUGGUUCAGUAAGUUGGAAGUGAAAUCCCCGGGCUCAACCUGGGAACUGCUUUCAAAACUGCUGAGCUAGAGUACGGUAGAGGGUGGUGGAAUUUCCUGUGUAGCGGUGAAAUGCGUAGAUAUAGGAAGGAACACCAGUGGCGAAGGCGACCACCUGGACUGAUACUGACACUGAGGUGCGAAAGCGUGGGGAGCAAACAGGAUUAGAAACCCCUGUAGUCC